CGGCCACCUCCUGCAUAGAGGGUACCAUUCUGCGCUGCUGCAAGUUACGGAAUGAAAAAUUAGAACAACAGAAACAUGGGACACGCAUGAAAUUUGGUGCCGUGACUUGGAUCGGGGGACCUCCCUUGGGAGAUCAAUCCCCUGUCCUCCUGCUCUCUGCUCUGUGAGAAAGAUGCACCUACGACCUCAGGUCCUCAGACCGACCAGCCCAAGAAACAUCUCACUAAUUUCAAAUCUGAAGACAGGAAUGUCAGGCCUCUGAGCUCAAGCUAAGCCAUCAUAUCCCCUGUGACCUGCACGUACACAUCCAGAUGGCCGGUUCCUGCCUUAACUGAUGACAUUCCACCACGAAAGAAGUGAAAAUGACCUGUUCGUGCCUUAACUGAUGACAUUGUCUUGUGAAAUUCCUUCUCCUGGCUCAUCCUGGCUCAAAAGCUCCCCCACUGAGUACAUUGUGACCCCCACUCCUGCCCGCCAGAGAACAGCCCCCUUUGACUGUAAUUUUCCUUUAUCUACCCAAAUCCUAUAAAACAGCCCCACCUUUAUCUCCCUUGGCUGACUCUCUUUUCGGACUCAGCCCGCCUGCACCCAGGUGAAAUAAACAGCCUUGUUGCUAACACAA
This 622-nucleotide long non-coding RNA is filed under the name Homo sapiens (human). Its description in RNAcentral is "HSALNT0406977". Lineage: Eukaryota; Metazoa; Chordata; Mammalia; Primates; Hominidae. The record is from RNAcentral.